GCAGCAGAACCGCAUUGUGUGGUCCGGGUUUCACGGAUGACAGAAGAAAUCCUACUGAAAUCUGUGGUUCAUUUUCCAAAGCCCGGAGCACGCCCUGAAGUCGCUCACUGUGGUGCUUUCCCAUUGAUCUCAACAGGGCAGAGCUGGGCCCGUGCUGAAGGCUUCUGAAAGCGCUGCUCUGCGAUUGUAGAUCUGGUCCCGUCGCCUCUUGUGACCUCAGCCCUGUUUCACCGCUGCAAGAGACAGCGAGGUCUGGCAGCCCUGCUCGUCUCCAGAUUUGGAAAAUGCAGAUAUUCACAAAGCCAUGCUGCAAACCCAUUUCCUCAAGUGGCUGUCAGGACUGAGAAGGAGAGCCUUUGAAUACCUGGAAGCUGGUUUCCACCAGGAGGUGCCACUGCACGUUACCCAUAGACUGAGGGCUGGCUCUGCUCCAUGACUGUUGAAGAAGAAGGAACACAGUGAAAUUCCACCCAAGGCAUGUUCACUCAGCCGUCCCCAAAUUCCCACAUUGGCUGCUCAUCUCUGCUCUCUAAUUAGGCCCGCUCCAGCUUUGUGGAGGAGGAGAGAGCCGGCGUAUGCAAAAGGUGUACACAGCAAACGUGUGUCUGCUGUGCUGCCGCGUCCCAGCCCGGAGAGACAGCCUCGGCCUGCACACCUCUCUUCAUGGAGCUCCUGGGAUAUAACAGAGGCUUCCCCUGCCAAGGCAAACAACUGACCGAGAGAUGAAGAUGGUGCCAUUGUGGAUAGAGCAGGCUGUGGAAGAUGAAAGACGACAGUGAAGGCAAGUCCCCACUUUUGUCACAUCUCCUCUAGUAAUCCUCCCACCACAGCUGGCUCCCUUUGGAAUAACCACACUAAGGUGACCCCCCCACUUCCUACGGGAGAACAGGAGUGGGACUCAGAGCAGCGGUUCCCAGGCUCGGGGGAUGUCAGCCUGAAGCAGGCUGUUCUUUGUGGCUGUUUAGAUGGGAGUCUGAUAGUGAGGGAGCAGGGGAGGCUGCCAGAAAGUGCAAAGGACGGCAAAUAGAGCUGAUAUGUGCUGACUGAGAAAGCUUGGGAACUGUUAUAUCUGACAUCACCCCUGUCAUUAGUUGUCUUCUGUGGAACUGGGCAGGCCCACUUUGCAGACAAAGUGGGUAGAGUAAAAGUCUCAGCUUCUGGCCUUUUCUGGGCAGUGGGUUUUUCCUCACUUACAGAGCCGG
RNAcentral lists this long non-coding RNA (1202 nucleotides) under Calidris pugnax (ruff). RNAcentral's name for it is "lncRNA (ENSCPUG00000003361.1)". The record is from RNAcentral. Lineage: Eukaryota; Metazoa; Chordata; Aves; Charadriiformes; Scolopacidae.